RNAcentral lists this non-coding RNA (24 nucleotides) under Rattus norvegicus (Norway rat). The record is from RNAcentral. Lineage: Eukaryota; Metazoa; Chordata; Mammalia; Rodentia; Muridae.
UGCACUCAAUGUCCUGACCUCCUC